RNAcentral lists this ribosomal RNA (92 nucleotides) under Drosophila ambigua. Lineage: Eukaryota; Metazoa; Arthropoda; Insecta; Diptera; Drosophilidae. The record is from RNAcentral.
GGUACCCCAUCUAAGUACUAACCGCGCCCGACGCUGCUUAAUUUCGGUGAUCGGACGAGAGCCGAUGUAUUCAGCGUAGUAUGGUCGUUGGC